RNAcentral lists this ribosomal RNA (301 nucleotides) under uncultured bacterium. RNAcentral's name for it is "partial 16S ribosomal RNA". It matches the Rfam family "Bacterial small subunit ribosomal RNA", at positions 509 to 807 of the family's 1533-position model. The record is from RNAcentral.
CAGCAGCCGCGGUAAUACGGAGGGGGCUAGCGUUGUUCGGAAUUACUGGGCGUAAAGCGUACGUAGGCGGCUUUGUAAGUUAGAGGUGAAAGCCUGGUGCUCAACACCAGAACUGCCUUUAAGACUGCAUCGCUUGAACGUCGGAGAGGUGAGUGGAAUUCCGAGUGUAGAGGUGAAAUUCGUAGAUAUUCGGAAGAACACCAGUGGCGAAGGCGGCUCACUGGACGACUGUUGACGCUGAGGUACGAAAGCGUGGGGAGCAAACAGGAUUAGAUACCCCUGUAGUCCCUGUCUCUUAUAC